CGUCGCACCCGUGGGGGAUGUGGGUGUUUUAACACCCACACUUUUCCCGGUGAGAGGGUUCAACACCCACACUUUUUAUGCAGUUUUUCAAGAACGCCUUAUUAAGUCGCUCCUCCGUUUCUCUGGCCGCUCUCUGUCUGCUGCGCUGCGCUGCUUCCUCUCCCCCUCCCCUCUCAAACAUGACGCCGGCUUUGAGUGUUACCGGCUGAUGAUUGGCUGUUCUGCCUUAAGUCCCGCCUCUCUUGGUGGGUUAGAUUGAUCGGUCAGCUCGCGCUGAGGAGGCGGGAACUUAUGUUUAUUUACAUCUCCCUUUUUCAGUAUCAAUAAGAUACAGAAAAGAAAGAGGCAGGAGAAGAUUGACACCUUUUUCAAGAGAAAUCCUGAGAUGAGGUUGCUGGAGGCAUCAGUUUAAAGAGAGAGAGAGACACAUAAAGUUUCACAGGUGUGCAAUGAAAAAUGAAUGUUACAGUUUGUGAAAGAGGUCUAUGAAGGAAGAGAGCGUGUGUUUGUGUCAUGGGUGGUGCUUAAUUCCAUCCCAGGUGCACAUACGCCUGUUUCUGGUGUGUUUAUAUCAAAUUUAAAAUGAUAUAUAUCCAUCCCCCACACUUUUAAAAAGCUUGC
Paramisgurnus dabryanus is the source of this 621-nucleotide long non-coding RNA. RefSeq lists it as uncharacterized. Lineage: Eukaryota; Metazoa; Chordata; Actinopteri; Cypriniformes; Cobitidae. The record is from RefSeq and is a predicted model, not a curated record.